Molecule: ribosomal RNA, 460 nt
Filed under: uncultured bacterium
Lineage: Bacteria
Description: partial 16S ribosomal RNA
Rfam family: Bacterial small subunit ribosomal RNA
Source: RNAcentral
CCUACGGGAGGCAGCAGUGAGGAAUAUUGGUCAAUGGGCGCGAGCCUGAACCAGCCAAGUAGCGUGAAGGAUGACUGCCCUACGGGUUGUAAACUUCUUUUAUAAAGGAAUAAAGUGAGGCACGUGUGCCUUUUUGUCUGUACUUUAUGAAUAAGGAUCGGCUAACUCCGUGCCAUCAGCCGCGGUAAUACGGAGGAUCCGAGCGUUAUCCGGAUUUAUUGGGUUUAAAGGGAGCGUAGAUGGGUUGUUAAGUCAGUUGUGAAAGUUUGCGGCUCAACCGUAAAAUUGCAAUUGAUACUGGCAGUCUUGAGUACAGUUGAGGUAGGCGGAAUUCGUGGUGUAGCGGUGAAAUGCUUAGAUAUCACGAAGAACGCCGAUUGCGAAGGCAGCUUACUAAACUGCCACUGACAUUGAUGCUCGAAAGUGUGGGUAUCAAACAGGAUUAGAUACCCGGGUAGUC